This 248-nucleotide ribosomal RNA is filed under the name uncultured bacterium. Its description in RNAcentral is "partial 16S ribosomal RNA". It matches the Rfam family "Bacterial small subunit ribosomal RNA", at positions 335 to 572 of the family's 1533-position model. The record is from RNAcentral.
ACUCCUACGGGAGGCAGCAGUGGGAAUAUUGCACAAUGGGCGCAAGCCUGAUGCAGCCAUGCCGCGUGUGUGAAGAAGGCCUUCGGGUUGUAAAGCAACUUUUCAGUUGAUGAAGGAAAGGUUAGUCGCUAAUAUCGGCUAGCUGUGACGUUAGCAACAGAAGAAGCACCGGCUAACUCCGUGCCAGCAGCCGCGGUAAUACGGAGGGUGCGAGCGUUAAUCGGAAUUACUGGGCGUAAAGCGCGUGU